This 434-nucleotide ribosomal RNA is filed under the name uncultured Lachnospiraceae bacterium. RNAcentral's name for it is "partial 16S ribosomal RNA". It matches the Rfam family "Bacterial small subunit ribosomal RNA", at positions 341 to 792 of the family's 1533-position model. Lineage: Bacteria; Bacillati; Bacillota; Clostridia; Lachnospirales; Lachnospiraceae. The record is from RNAcentral.
ACGGGAGGCAGCAGUGGGGAAUAUUGGACAAUGGGGGAAACCCUGAUCCAGCGACGCCGCGUGAGUGAAGAAGUAUUUCGGUAUGUAAAGCUCUAUCAGCAAGGAAGAAAAUGACGGUACUUGACUAAGAAGCUCCGGCUAAAUACGUGCCAGCAGCCGCGGUAAUACGUAUGGAGCAAGCGUUAUCCGGAUUUACUGGGUGUAAAGGGAGCGUAGACGGGACAGCAAGUCUGAUGUGAAAUGCGGGGGCUCAACCCCUGAACUGCAUUGGAAACUGUUGACCUUGAGUGCCGGAGAGGUAAGCGGAAUUCCUAGUGUAGCGGUGAAAUGCGUAGAUAUUAGGAGGAACACCAGUGGCGAAGGCGGCUUACUGGACGGUAACUGACGUUGAGGCUCGAAAGCGUGGGGAGCAAACAGGAUUAGAUACCCUGGUA